CGUCAACAAGCUCCCCCAAGCUUAACCUUUGCUCGUCCCUGAGCAAAGAUAAACUCAAGAGUUUCUGCAGUGGUUUCAUAACUUAAAGAUACACAUGCGUUUAAACAAGAUCUCAUCUCUGGUUAGAGUAAACUGCUAAGACUUAAAACUUACUCAUUUACCUUUCACCAUGGGACUUAUAACCGUCACCUCUAUCUUAAGUAGUUAAAAGAUAGAACAAUCUAGUCAAGCACCAUGUCUCUUGUUCUUCGAUUAACUAUAGCUCUGGAGUUUUUGCAGAUUUUCAAAUAAAACUCAGAGAUUCCUUGUAUGACUCUCUCUAGUCUCUCUUUUGUGGUAUUUCUGGAUCCUUACCAAGGCAGUAAUGGUAUAUGCCUUCUCUCAAAGUAUGUGGUAUUUGUGGUAUAAGGCAUAGUGACACUGCCUUCUCUCUCACCCUACUCUAAUAAGGUUUUGAUAUCUGGAGCUCAUAGGUGGGAGACAGCUAAUACAUACAUAUAAGACAUUUAUUGCAUAGUCAAACCAUGGAUCCAGAAGAUCAAGUCAAUAAGUCAAAUCAAGAUGUGCAUGUGUGGCGAAUGAAUGGUGUAUGGUGAUGAUGGUGAUAACAAUGGUGAAAGUCUAAUUCUACUUAUGCUCUUUUGAGGGGAUACAUACCUUUCUUGCUCUUUUGAAACUUUUUGAGGAGAAUGAGAUGCUCUAUAUUUUCUUUUUCUUUCCUCUCAGGUGGGUAUCUUGUACCACUAAUUCUAGUAUCGGACACUUGUCCAUUUUUACCUCUCGUCUCACUUUUUUUUUCUUUUUUUUUCUUUCGAGGUUCCGGGCACUUGCCCCUUUUUAUUUCCUCGUAUUCUUUCUUUUUUCUUUUCUUUAUUUUUUUUCUUCUUUUUUUUAGAGCACUCAUCUCCUGAAAUAAUAUAGCAAGUGGUAGUAACCAAGUAACUUGAGCAUUUAUUUCAUAGGGAAAAACAGAAAUAGGAGAAUGUUUUUGGCUAUUCUCUCCCGGAUUAGGAGUAGAAUAUUUUUGGGUGGUUCUGGAGAUGGAAAUGGGUGGAUAUAUGUGGAUGCGUACUUCGGGAGUAGAAGCAGCAUGUAUGAGUGAACGUGCAAGUGAAUCUUGAUUUAACCACAUGACAAGCUCCUAAGGGUCUACACAGCUUGACCACACUCAAAGCUCAUAAGCAGUAAAAAGUAAAUGUGUGGCUCAAAGUCUAGCAAGCAUGUAUAUAUGGCUGUGGUAGGAAUUUAAACUCUCAUCUUACAGGAACUCAUCAUGCAACAUUUUAAAGAUUUUCAAAGAUAAAAUUCUCCAGAAUUCUAGCAUCUCUAGGAACAAAUAAACAGCAGCUCAACCUUCCCAUAUCAUAUCCGUUAACAACUUAGACUUUAGAUCAAGUACUCUCCCCACAAGUUCAGGUUUAGAGCAAAUCUUAAUUAAUAACAGUCAUGCCUAAACUUGAGAGAGAUUUCAAUUUUGAGAACUAAUCAUGGCAGAGCAACUACUCAUCAUAUCCAUGUGAGAGCUUAUCAUGAGGGUUCAUAGCAAACUUUAUUUAUUUAUUUAGCAACUAAGCAAAGAACAUAAAAUCUUUAUUUGGAUUUUUAUGAUUAUGCAUCAUUUUAUUAUUUAAGUAAUGUAUAAACAUGAGUAGAAUACUUAGCUGGAUAAAUGGGGGUGCUCUCCCCCAAGCUGGAUUUUGACGUAAUUUCUUCUCAUGUAGCUAGUGUUGACACUUCUUAACGCAACCACCGGAUAUCGGCGACGGCGCCAGAAGUGCCCUGGUAGGGUAACUCUAUUUACUAUUGGAUAAUUCCACAAGCGCACAGAAUGUACCGCUGUAGCACUUCACCAAGGAGUAUUCCAAGGUAUCGUAAUUUAUAUUUUCCCAAGGGAAAGCGGCUAAGUGUGUUUAACAAAAAGGGGAAUGAGAUUCCUUGAGUUGUCUAGUAUCAACUAGUGAAUAAGGGUGGUAAAUAACGAAUAGGAAGGGUAGUGGUGAAUCCAAGGUCCUAUGCUAAAGGUAAAUGGUAGAGUUAGCUAGGUGGGAGGACAACGAGUGAGUAAAGGACUCCUAUGUAUCUAACUUGACUUCUGUGACAUACUUUAAUAGAUAAUUGCCUUAACUACACUAGAGCCUUACUAACUGUGUGCGAGGGAUAGCCGAGCUGGUAAGACGCUUAGAAGGUUUUUCACCUAACCCCUUACCGAAAGCGACUAUUGGGCUUAUGGACGCCUUACCUUUUAAGAACUAGCCUGUACGUGAGGAGAACCUAAUGCCGCCCACGAUCUGUCACCUACUAGGGAGUGCGCUCCUACUUUCCGUUCAAGCCAGCGGUAAUCAAAGGUAAUCUUAAGUAUGAGCACCACGCUCACACUUAAUCCUACAACUCUAACUAGUUGCAGCUAGCUAGAGCUCCUAUACAAGAUAGGACGAUGAUGCACACACAGGAGUGGUUACAGGUCACUAACUUCACUAAGACAACUAUAUUACUAAAGUAAAUGCACAACAAGACUAAAAGACUUGCAUUAAGUAAGAACUCAGUAAAGUAAAGUAAGAAUAAUAUAUUAAUAAAGGAAAGUCUUACAAAAGUAGAAAGGUACAAGAGCUAUACCAGACUCUCCAGAAGACGACUCCGGAGACCCCGAGCUUCGCUCGACUCGACUCUAACUCCCACUCUAGACUAACUACUACUCUACUUGUAUGCUUGGAACUUGUAAUGCACUUGGCCUUGGAAUUGCACACUUGAAAUGAAGGAUGGAGGCUGCCUUUUAUAGAGGGAGAUGGAGUAGGGGUUACUCCAUCGCCACGUCAUCGAUCCGCGUGACAUCUUCUCUCCACCCUUGGAUCAAACCGACCUCACAACCGCCAUUUGAUCAACGGCAGGGGCAAAUCAACAUGUGGGACAUGUGGGGAAGGUCGGUGGGAGGCCACCGACCCUGGAACCGCCUUUGAUGUGGGGUCGGGCGACCCCACUUCUGGGCCUCUGGGCCCACCAGCAGUGUCCACAGGGGUCCCUUAUGUCGGUGGACUAGGUGGCACACCUGGGUCCACCAAAGAGGGGUCGGGCGACCCCCUCCCUGUGGGCCCAGGGUGUCACCUGUUGUCCCCUCGAUCUCCUCUUGAUGAUUCUGAUGUUGGCUUUGUCAAAUAAUGUCUUGAAUUUGUUGUUCCUGCAUAAACAAGCUAAGAGUACAAGUGGAACUAGUUAUGGAUAAAAUAUGUUCAUGUCAUGUCAUUUCCCCUUGCAACCGAGGCAUGUUGACGGUGUUUUGUAUGUGGAUUUCUAUGGUAUAUCCACCGUCAACAAGAUCCCCCAAGCUUAACCUUUGCUCGUCCCGAGCAAACAAUCAAACUUAGCCUCGGUGGAUCAGGUAUUGUUACUAUGUUCACAUUUCAAGAGUACCAUGUGUACAACAAAGUUCUUCUCUUUGCAUGAAAAAUUUAGCUAUGUAAACUUACCCCUAUUACCUUAGUCCCUUAUGGGGCUUAUGGCUUUUCCUUUGUCUUAGGUGGUUGAGAGACAGAACAGUUUGACUUGAGCACUAACUUUCUCAUUCUUAGCAAGUUUCAUAUCAGAGGUUUUGUGAUAUUUUCAAAAGAAAGCUUAAAUGUUCCUCUUAUGGUUCUCUCAUGUCACUCAAAUGGUGUAUGAUUCCUCACCAAGGCAUAUGGUAAGAGUUGCCUUCUCUAUUUCAUCCUAUUUCUAAAAGGCUUAUGUGGAGUUCAAGGUAGGGAUGAAAGGAGAUAGCAUACUUACUUUGCAUAUAUUGCGAAAUCAAAGCUCGGAUCCUUGAAGAGAAGUGUCAUACUCCCAGAUCAAGAUGUGCAAGUGUGAUAUAUGGUGGACUAGGUUGCUCCUUUAUUUGAUAGACUCUCUAUGUAUUGAGACAUGGCUAGCUUUUUUUUAUAUAUAUAUGAGCUUUCAUGUGCUCAAUUUUCUUUUUCUGUGGACUUGCAUAUGUCCAUCUUUUUAUUUCAUUUUGCCUAGCCUUUUGAUGUCUCAUUUACCAAAUAAUGCUUAGAGAGAUGUUCUAACAUUUAGAGUAUGGAGCAACCUAUUUAGUGGAUGCGAAAUACAUGUGGUUGCGUACUUCCAGUGUAGAAGCAGCAUAUAUAUAUGUGGUGUGUAUGUGAUCUUGAUCUUAGGAGCAUGAAAAGUCUCUUAACAAGGGUCAACAAGACUUGACGACACUCAACACAAAGCAAAUAGCUUAUGUGGAAAGAUUGCAAUUAUGUAAAGUAGAUAUGGCUGUGGUAGGAAUUCAUCACCAUUGAGGAACAAUUAAGGUUUUGAUCAUUUUAAGAAUAAAUCUCUGAUAAUCAUGCAUGCUUAGAAAAAUAUUGUAGUAGCUCUUGUCUUACUAUCUCAUGUCCCACAACAACUUAGACUUAGUUCUAGCACUUGCAACCCACAAAGUUUUUAGGUUCAUGGCAGUUUAAGUGAGCUAAGUGAUCCAUACUUAGAGAAAUACUAAGUUGUAUACUAGGUACUAGAGAAACAUUAACAAGCAACUAGUCAUCAUUUCCAUGAGGGAUAUAAACAUACAUGAAGCAUAUAUGCUAAAGGGAAAUGCUAAUAAAUAUUUAUUUUUUUAAGUAAGAAUGAUAAAAUGCAUGAAAAUAAAUAGGAUAGAAUACUUACCUUAGUGGGGGAGAGGAUCUCCCCCAAGCUAGAUCUUCGCUCACUGUGGUGGCGGGAAAUUCUGGUACCAUCCAGCCCAGCGUUGUGCGUCUUCCUCUCGCACACGUCGGAUAUGUUGGCCGUUUUGUAACGCCAGUUGCAAUGUUGCUUCUUGCCCAAUCUGCAAUUCGCCCAUGUCAUUAAUGAGACUGUCCAUACCUGUGGGCUGGUGAUGCCUAGCCCUGCCCCUUGGGCGUGGAGUGCGUUGUGGAGGUAGACCCAUGGAGUCUGAAGCAUCCACUGACAUCGCUUCAUCGCCCUCUUCAACGUCAUGGUGCGAGGAUCCUCCUUGCUCCAUCUGGGCGGCUUGCAUCAUCCUUCUUGUCACCCUGCGUGUCCCUGCAAUAUCUGGACUUGCCACUUGGGCUAGUCUAAUGGUAAGUGUGCGGGCCCCAUACAACCGGCGCCUCGCACAUGGGAGAGGAAUUUCGGUUGUAUAGCCCGGAUAAAUCAUUUUAAGUUCACCAUUUGGAUUUCUUAUGAGCAUGUUAGCAUUGAUAAAGAAGUUCUCAUCUACCACUCCUCUAACAUAGCCAAUGUCUUCAAAAUAAUGUGAUUCAAGUAAUCCAAAAGUAUCGGCUAUUCGAGUAAUAAAGGAUGUGAAAUAGAUGGGCUUCCCAUACUCAAUAGAGUUAAGCCAAUAGUUCACUAGCAGUUUCACAGGGGAGACCUUGAUUUUACUAACCAUGGCAUAGAGAAUUUUAAGUUCAUCAUCAAUUAAAGUAUCAGUUCCCAUGCCAGGAUAUAGAGUGCACAUGAUCCAGAAGUGAAGAAAGCGCAAGGUUGGAUUAUGGAUUUCAAUGGGAGUAGGAUUUGAACAAUCAUUAGAGCCAGAAAUUGCUUUCCAAAAUCUAAAUUUAUCGAACAUUCUAGUGGCAUGAUCUAGAUCAAGUUCACAUUCAUGUUCACACCCUAAAGCAGUGUUUAGCAAACUCCAAUUUAAUUGAUGUUCUUGCUCACACAUGCGAAAAGAUAUUCCAUUAUUUGUGAGUUUUAGGGUGCAUAGAAAUUCCUUAGCAAGCAAUUCUUUUCCAAAUUCAGGCACUUGCCAAAAACUACUCCAACCAAUUGCUCUAAACACCUUAUCGAAUUCAACAUCCAUACCUGUGCGGGCCAAAAGGUCCGGAUCGAUGAUGCUAGUGUGUAGGAAGAGACCCUCUCGGAUGAUGUAGUACCAUUGCAACUCUUCUUGGCUUAACAUGAGGCCACUCUCGGGCUCUCUCAUCCUUGAUGGAGGCUCGUAGGGUACCAUCCCAUGGUAACCUUCUUCUUCCUCCCUUCCAUGAGCAUGGUGAGAGCCUUGAGAAGAGCUCUCACCCUUUGCUUUCUUGAACUUGCCGAAGAUAUGCUUCUUCAUCCUCCUACACAAGUGAGGCAAACCAAGCUCCUACUACUACUACUAUGCAAGGGGAAUCUUUUUGGGUUUUUGUUUUGAUGACUAUUUCUAAACUAAACUUGAGAAAUGGCUUGUAACAAAGAGAGAAGAGAAAGGAUUGUGAGCUCGAAAUGGUUCUGGUGGUUUUGGGUGUGGAGUUGAGCUCACAAUGCUGUGGUAUUUAUAGGGGGAGAAGGGCAAGUAGUGGACCCACAAUAUAGGGGUCGGCCGACCCCCCUAGAAGCACUUUGAAUUUGAACUUAGCUUUAUACAGGGAACCAUUCUGCAUGCUUUCAAGAUUUUGCAGAGAUGGUCCAAAAUGGGGGUCGGCCGACCCCCAUCCUAGCCCCUCCUCCACUUUAAACAUUGUGUCAUUGAUUGUCCAGAAAAGUAAAGGCUAGGUGUGGACCAAAAGUUUUCAAAUUGUUUCUGAGAUUCCCUGUUUUAGUGCUUUGUGAAAGGUAAAAGAUGAAUGGCAAAAGUGGAGACAUGUCUAAAGUGAUUCCUAUGGACCAUGGGAGCACUCAAGCAUGCCUAGGUGACCACUUUGCAGAAUUUAAGCUAGUGGAGUGGUCCCAAAAGAAUCAAAGAUGAAAGGAGCAUCUUAUGACUAAAGUAAAGGAUCAAGGGACCACUUUUUUUCAAACUUUAGCUAGUGUUACAAGCAUAGGACUCCAUUGUGAUUCAAAUGGUGGCCAGCAGGAGGCAAGUGGGGCCAAUAUGGGGGUCGGCCGACCCCCACAUUGGAGCUCCCAGAGCAUCCAAGUGCUGGGUUGGAACCUCUAUGACUAGCAAGGUUGAAAUGUGGUGAAGUGGGCCCCAAGGUGGGGUCGGGCGACCCCCCUUUGGGAGCUCCAGCAGCUCAAAUUUUUAUGACAAGUUAUUCUCAAGAUUUUAUUUAUUAUGGCUAAACAUUUUGUCGAAAUAAGAUAUGCAAAAUUCAAAGUAAGAAUGCAAUUGAAAAGUGAAUAGUAGAAAUUGAAAUGCAGAAAAUAAAUAUGGGAUAACUACUGAUUUACCUUAUCAGCAAGGGCUCCAUGUUUUAGGUCCGUAGAGCAGGACCUCUCCAUCUUGUUCAUUCUUCGGGUGCAUCAGAUGGUCCCGGAGACGUGGACCUUGAUUGCACCUCUUUCUCCCGCCAUACUUGCUUGGUAUUGAUUUUUGGUUCAGCGGGUUCCUCUUCUUUCUUUUCGGCCCUUUUGGCCGACUUACCUCUCUUGUCCCUUCGGCGUCGGAUGUGGCGAGGCUUAGUCGGAGGUUCUUUGUCCUUCACCUGCAUGUUAGCUUUAUAACCAUUGAAUGGACAUUUUACCUUCCAUCCUGGGAAUUGGAGGUGAAUCUGGCCGGACCCCACAUAGAUGACUGCAUUGACCGUGUUGAGGAAUGGCCUUCCCAAGAUGAUCGAGACAUCAUUAUUGGAUCCCAUAUCCAAAAUGAUGAAGUCGGCAGGGACGUAGUCGUCUUGGACCUUUACCAGUAUGUCCCUUGCCAACCCCUCAGGGAACCUGAUCGUCUGAUCUGCCAUCUGCAAACGAACAAAUGUGGGGUGCAAAGGCCCCCCUAGCAAAUUAUCAUAAGUUACCUUGGCCAUGAUGUUGACACCCGAUCCAAGGUCGCAGAAGGCGUUGUGGAAGAUUUGCGGUCCGAUCUCACAGGUGAUGGUCGGCAGGCCUGGGUCGUCUUUCUUGGUGAUGAAGGGCGAAUCCAGAAGAUAGCUCCAGUUGGAUUGUACCGGAGGCUUACCGAACCUCGUAGUAACUAGUUUAACUCCUUCAAUUGGGUCCUCAGGUUUCCCUGGGAUCUUACCUUGCUCGAAGGAUGGGACAGCUGCUGCUAAUUGAGCUAAUUGUGUUUCUAGCAUUUUGUUAAAGCUCAACUGAUUUUUCAUAGCAGAGUUAAAGCUAUCCAACUUUUCACUUAAGUUUUCAGGGAUCUUAUCAUUAGCCAUGAUUUUCUUGUUAAUGCUAUCAUUGAUUUUAGAUUGGCCUAAGACAAGAUCUCUAAGAGAAGGUUGGUUACCAAAAGAAUUAUUGAAAUUUUGAUUGUAACCAUUACCUUGAUUACCUUGGUAGAAGGGGCGCGAGUUCCAUUGCUGUUGUUGGGGCCGGUACCCAUUGUUGUUGUUGUUGAUGAAGCUCACUUCCUCCUUUGUUUCGGGACAAUUGUUUCCCGAAUGAUCAUCUCCUCCGCACACUUCGCACCAUGAAUCAGAUUCAAUGGCCCGUGCAGUGGCGUAAGGUUGAAUGGUCUCUUGCUUGGAACUUUCUUCCAUCUUCUUCAUUAAGAGGUCCAUCUUAGCAGAGAGCAUGUCCACCUCAUUCAAGGCAUGGACACCUCUUCUCUUGGGUUGGAGGCGUUCCGCAUUCCAUCCUUGGUUUAUAACCAUCUUUUCAAUGAGGUCCUUGGCAUCCUUGACAUUGUGUUGCAAGAAUGCUCCUCCAGCGGCAGCAUCAAGGUGACUACGGGCCAAACCGGUCAGGCCAUGGUAGAAACCUUGGAUUAGGAGCCACUCCUCUAUCCCAUGAUGAGGACAGGCGCGAAUGUACUCCUGCAGACGUUCCCAUGCUUCGGGAAUCGUCUCAUCCGCUUGCUGUUGGAAGCUGGAAAUCUUUCCACGAAGGGCGCUGGUCUUGCCCAUCGGAAAGAACUUCUUGAGAAAUGCAUUGGCGCACCUCUCCCACGUGGUCACUUCACCCUUGUUGGCGUAGAACCAUUGCUUCGCCUUCCCCAAUAACGAGAAUGGGAAGAGGCGAAGACGGAUGGCGUCUGCGGCGACAUUCUUGAUGGUGAAGGUGCCGCACACCUCCAAGAAGUGUUGGAGAUGGGCAUUGGCAUCCUCGUGUGGCUUUCCACAGAAGGGAUUGGCUUGCACCAUAUUGAUAAGCGCAGGCUUCAACUCAAAAGUCGCAUCCCCCAAGUUAAGCUGCGGACCCGUGGCGACAUUGUCAGCCGACGGCGCAGAGUACUCAGAGAUGGUCUUCUGGGCCAUAGCUUCUUUGAUAACCGGUGCAGAUACUCCUUCCUCUAACGGAUUCAGGUUCGAGAUGAACCUUUGAGGUGGAACUUGACGACGUCUAGUUCUCCUCAACAGUUGCUCAGGAUCUUCAACGAAGUUUGACGGCAAUUGGAAACAGCUCAUACACUGUCAGGCUUCACAAUAAAGGAAGACAAGACAAGUGAUGGGUUAUCCCUAUCACUACUUGAUAACUAGCAAACUCUGGAUUCUCUUUUUGUUAAAACUCUUAGACAGACGCUCUCCCCGGCAACGACGCCAGAAAUGCUUGUUGACACUUCUUAACGCAACCACCGGAUAUCGGCGACGGCGCCAGAAGUGCCCUGGUAGGGUAACUCUAUUUACUAUUGGAUAAUUCCGCAAGCGCACAGAAUGUACCGCUGUAGCACUUCACCAAGGAGUAUUCCAAGGUAUCGUAAUUUAUAUUUUCCCAAGGGAAAGCGGCUAAGUGUGUUUAACAAAAAGGGGAAUGAGAUUCCUUGAGUUGUCUAGUAUCAACUAGUGAAUAAGGGUGGUAAAUAACGAAUAGGAAGGGUAGUGGUGAAUCCAAGGUCCUAUGCUAAAGGUAAAU
RNAcentral lists this long non-coding RNA (9642 nucleotides) under Sorghum bicolor (sorghum). RNAcentral describes it as "long non-coding RNA (SBIC_LNC014222)". The stretch from base 8575 to 8681 matches the Rfam family "Plant small nucleolar RNA R71". Lineage: Eukaryota; Viridiplantae; Streptophyta; Magnoliopsida; Poales; Poaceae. The record is from RNAcentral.